AGACAAUUGCAUUCCUGUUACAAAAUAUGCAGUUGCCGCUGAGCUCUGAAAGUCUGUCCCUCAGCUUUCUAGUCACUCAUGAGAAAUCUCGUGAGAUUUUUCUCCUUAAGGGCAAGCCGUCAUGUCUUCUUCACUUAUCACCAACAAUCAAUUAUCCUAAUUUAAUACCAAGUGAUAUGGCAUGCCAGCACAUUUAAUUGUGUUCCAAGCUAAUGAAACCAGCAGAAGGCAGUGGACAGAACAGCAUCAAAGCACUGCAUUGAUCAUCCACACUUAAUCCAGUCAAGCAGUGUUUCUGAGGCCUGUCGGACUAGUCUGUUCCACCAAUGUUCCACUAACAGCUCUUUUCGGAUGCCUCGAUUGAUUUGUGUUCUCAGACAAUGAUGUCAUAUAAUGCUGCAUUUUAUUCCGUGUUCAUGGCCUGCACUUAUGCUGAAUAAUAACCAGGACUUCAGACAGCAGUUAUUUCAGACUGUGAUUGCACUGAAGAUGGUGUGGAAGUAAUUCACCGGUAUGUUGCCUGGGAUGGAGCAUUUCAGCUGUGAAAAUAAACCAGUUAAUGAAGAUGUUGUUUGAAUGUGCAGAAGAGCAUAUUGAUAUGGAAUUAAUCUCCUUUUGUAUUAACCUUGCAUCUAACAAGAGAAAUGCACAAUUAAUCUGCGA
Molecule: long non-coding RNA, 663 nt
Organism: Leucoraja erinaceus (little skate)
Lineage: Eukaryota; Metazoa; Chordata; Chondrichthyes; Rajiformes; Rajidae
Exons: 3
Source: RefSeq, a predicted model, not a curated record